UACGUAGGGGCCUAGCGUUGUCCGGAUUUAUUGGGCGUAAAGAGCUCGUAGGCGGCUUGGUAAGUCAGGUGUGAAAUCUCCACGCUCAACGUGGAGGGGCCACCCGAAACUGCCAUGGCUUGAGUCCGGUAGGGGAGUGUGGAAUUCCCGGUGUAGCGGUGAAAUGCGCAGAUAUCGGGAGGAACACCCGUAGCGAAGGCGGCACUCUGGGCCGGUACUGACGCUGAGGAGCGAAAGCGUGGGGA
RNAcentral lists this ribosomal RNA (245 nucleotides) under uncultured Actinocorallia sp. RNAcentral describes it as "partial 16S ribosomal RNA". It matches the Rfam family "Bacterial small subunit ribosomal RNA", at positions 524 to 767 of the family's 1533-position model. Lineage: Bacteria; Bacillati; Actinomycetota; Actinomycetes; Streptosporangiales; Thermomonosporaceae. The record is from RNAcentral.